RNAcentral lists this ribosomal RNA (471 nucleotides) under uncultured bacterium. RNAcentral's name for it is "bacterial SSU rRNA". It matches the Rfam family "Bacterial small subunit ribosomal RNA", at positions 28 to 507 of the family's 1533-position model. The record is from RNAcentral.
GAUGAACGCUGGCGGCGUGCUUAACACAUGCAAGUCGAACGAAGAUGCCGGAGUGCUUGCACUUUGGCAGACUGAGUGGCGGACGGGUGAGUAACGCGUGAGGAACCUGCCUCAAAGAGGGGGACAACAGUUGGAAACGACUGCUAAUACCGCAUAAGCCCACGGCUCGGCAUCGAGCAGAGGGAAAAGGAGCGAUCCGCUUUGAGAUGGCCUCGCGUCCGAUUAGCUAGUUGGUGAGGUAACGGCCCACCAAGGCGACGAUCGGUAGCCGGACUGAGAGGUUGAACGGCCACAUUGGGACUGAGACACGGCCCAGACUCCUACGGGAGGCAGCAGUGGGGAAUAUUGCACAAUGGGGGAAACCCUGAUGCAGCGACGCCGCGUGGAGGAAGAAGGUCUUCGGAUUGUAAACUCCUGUUGUUGAGGAAGAUAAUGACGGUACUCAACAAGGAAGUGACGGCUAACUACGUG